This 449-nucleotide ribosomal RNA is filed under the name uncultured bacterium. RNAcentral's name for it is "bacterial SSU rRNA". It matches the Rfam family "Bacterial small subunit ribosomal RNA", at positions 28 to 507 of the family's 1533-position model. The record is from RNAcentral.
GGUUAACGCUGGCGGCGUGCCUAACACAUGCAAGUCGAACGGUUCUAAGCGCGAGCUUAGGAUAGUGGCGAACGGGUGAGUAAAAGGUAGGAAUCUACCCCCUUGGACGGAGAUAGCUACUGGAAACGGUAGGUAAACUUCGAUAAGCCCGAGAGGGGAAAGUGGUGAGACAGCCGAGGGAUGAGCCUACUCUCCAUCAGGUAGUUGGUGAGAUAAAAGCUUACCAAGCCGAUGACGGAUAACCGGUGUGAGAGCAUGAACGGUCACAAGGGCACUGAGAGACGGGCCCUACUCCUACGGGAGGCAGCAGUGGGGAAUCUUGGGCAAUGGGCGAAAGCCUGACCCAGCGACGCCGCGUUGGGGAUGAAGCCCUUCGGGGCGUAAACCCAUGUUGUAGGGGACGAAGAAAGUGACGGUACCCUACGAAGAAAGCCCCGGCCAACUACGUG